This is a long non-coding RNA of Motacilla alba alba, 2036 nucleotides long. RefSeq lists it as uncharacterized. The transcript has 3 exons. Lineage: Eukaryota; Metazoa; Chordata; Aves; Passeriformes; Motacillidae. The record is from RefSeq and is a predicted model, not a curated record.
GUCUCCAGGCUUAAUGCUGACUCUGUUGCCAGAACACCCAGGCACUUUCCAUCGGCUCCUGUGCCAAGGGUGAGCUUCACUUAGGCAAAGCACACUGUGCAGAGCAGGUGGAGAGUGUAGGGAACGGAGCAACAUGAGUCAGCAGCCAAGCAGAACCUGGGAGGGCUGGCAUCAGGAACUCUGAUGUGUACAAAGCCAGGUGUGGGUGCCUGACGUAAAACCAAACCCUUAGACAACUUUUCUUCAAGCAUUCAAGCCUGUAGAGUGCUUUUGGGUUUUCCUCCUUUCCUGCAGGCGAGUCUGUAGCUGGGUACAGUUCAGGGUUGUGCUCUUGCUGCCGUUCAGCUGCUGUGAACCCACUGGGUUUUAAACUCAUUAGUGCUGUGUGGAACAGCAGUGAAAAUAUUUCCCUGAGUAAAUCAAGCGGCAAAAGGAACCUGAGGCAGGAUUUGCCUCUGCUCUUUCUGAAAUGUAAAAGGAUUCGGACCCAGCACUCACCCUGCUCCUAAGCCUGGACGAGGACAGCGCCAGGGGGGAAGGAGCGGUGGGCGCCCGGGCGGGGAGCAGCCGAGGGCAGGGAGCCGUGCGGCCGCAGCAGCGGAGCGCGGCAUGGCCGUGCCGGGGACAGCUGCCGCAGGGCCACUCGCGCCGUCCUCCUCAGCGGGCAGUUUGGCAAUGGCCGGUGUCAGCGCACCUUUCAAAGCUGCGGUGAAGCCAUGGUCCCUGCACGCCCCGAGACACGGCAGUAUUUCUUGCCCGGACUGCUAAGAGGGUGCAGAGCAGUCCUUCCAAGGCUGGACAGCAAAUGGCAGCAGCGGUAGCUCUCCUCCUGCCACCGAAGCGCGGCACGGCUGCCACACACACAUCCUGCCGGCCGAACAGACCGGGCCGAUUCUGAACUUGGAGUGACCCUGGGUCAGCUGCACCUUCGUACUGUGUGUUACAGGGAAAUGCCACGCAGCAGCACCCCACGACCUGGUGCUUUAGGGAGAUGGCCAUCAAUGAAAAACUCUAAUGAAAAAACAGCUUCCACCAACUCUCUCCAUUAUGUGCUCAUUCUUUUUAUGCUCUCAAACUAGUUUUUUCCCUUACUUUUUUUCUUUUUUUUUUUUUCUUCUUUUUCUUUUUUCUUUCUCCCCUGUUGCUAAUGAGCUCUUGAGAAUUUGAUUUAGCUCCUUGGAAUGACUGCCACUUACUGCUAGAAUGUUAAUCUGUCUAAACCCAUUCAGCUCCUCUUACUUGGAAGUCAAUCACCUGGAGCCUGCAUUUUAAAGAGAUGCUGGCUAAGGCAGUCGCAACAGAGGAGAUGUUUUGGGACAAUUCCCACAGUUGAGAGUAAUCUCGGGAAACUCAUAGCUACUUGACGGCAGACAGUGUUGAAUCCCCGGAAUAAGCAGAACUGGAGCAAACCCUGGCAGAGACCAGAAGGGCAAAUGGAGGGAGACAGGAGGCAGUUGAGCUGCAGCUCCCACACGGGAUGCUGUACUGGUGUGUUUUGGGGGACAACCUUUAGUUAAUGGUGAGAAUAAACCCAAGAAGGGCAUAGGCAAACCAGGUCAGAGGAGGUAUGCCAAGACACAGCUGGAGAUAAAGCUUUAAAGUGUCAGAGGAGAAGUUUGGCUUUCCAGAAGUAAUUAGAGAGAUAAUUCAAUUUGUCUUGUACUGGCCAUUUUUUAAAACCCCUGUUUGGAGGGGGAGAAAAUGCACAAAAAUCCAUAUUAAAUGUAGGAGACAUGGACAUCACUUGGGAUAGUGGAUGAUGUAGUGGAGCUGUGUAUCAGCGCUAUUCUGGAAAUGGGGAGAAGAGUGUUUUACUGUGGUACACCCCAACUCUGUCACUGUCCCUUCAUUGCCUCUGCAGUUCUCUGAUGGCAAACUUUGCAGAGAGAAGUCAUAACAAUUUAACAGCAAGAAAGGUUGUUUUGCUGCUGCUACAGAGGAGCAGACUGCCCCUGUGAUCCCAUGUGAAAAAGCACAUUUUUGGAAUAAGCAAAUGUUCAGAGUCAUUAUUUGCUCUUUCAAUAAAAUCAUUCUUU